CAUCUUAUGUCCUAAAAUGCUUUACUUUGGCCUUGUUCCAGGUCAGGUUUUUUUUCUUUUGGUUAUGGUGCACUUUUGGCUUGCAGUGCCCAGAGACCCCAAGAUCAUCCUCUCCAGAACUUGGAUGGCGAGCCCCAGCCCAGAGGACCGAGUGAACCGGAAGAUGGUGACCCGACUGGUCACUACCCGUGAGACAUUGAAUGAACAUUUGAUAGACACAUUGAAAAGACUAAACAAACAUUGAAAGAACAUUUAUAGACACAUCGAAAAGACUGGGUUAUUUAUUUUAUUUUAUUUUAUUUUUUUUAAUUGCACAAUUUUUGUAUAUUUGUUAAUGUGGAUC
Molecule: long non-coding RNA, 343 nt
Organism: Xiphophorus hellerii (green swordtail)
Lineage: Eukaryota; Metazoa; Chordata; Actinopteri; Cyprinodontiformes; Poeciliidae
Exons: 3
Source: RefSeq, a predicted model, not a curated record